This is a non-coding RNA of Podarcis lilfordi (Lilford's wall lizard), 74 nucleotides long. The record is from the annotation of a GenBank genome assembly. NCBI's taxonomy places the organism in Eukaryota, Metazoa, Chordata, Lepidosauria, Squamata, Lacertidae.
GCCCAGAUAGCUCAGUUGGUUAGAACAUGCUGCUGAUAAUGCCAAGUUUGCAGGCUCAAUCCCUGCAUGGGACA